UGCUAAUGCUUGGGUGGUCAGGAGAAAUAGCCUUCCCUUUUCUUCCCCAACCCCUUCUCCUCCCACCCUCUAUGUGUGAUGAAGGCAUUUCCGGAAGCAGUGAACUAGAAGUGAAACUUGCCUUGCUUGGAAUGCCAAGAUUUAAAAACUUCCACUUACUGCUUCUCGGAAUUGCUCUGUAUCAGAAUCAUUGAGGACCUCAGGAAAUAUUGGAAGACCUCUAUUAGUCUAGAGGAAGUCUGUUGGUUCUCUCCCAUACUUUUUAAAUUUGGCCUCUCAACUCUUCUACAUUGGUAAUCUGGAUUCCAUGCCUAUAUAUCCCUGAGCUAUAAUGGUUAAAUGGAGUCAUUGGAAAAUGCUGUCAUGAAGCCUAGGAAGACAGAGGAGUGGUCAGGGCACGCUAAGAUGCCCUGGGAAUCAGACUCUUUCUGUAGGACAUGACCUCAGAAUCAACAAGAAAAACCACUUGUAUAAAUGUUAUGAGCUGCACAACCCUGGACAAGUUCAUAGAACCUCUCUCAGCCUCAGUGUCCUCAUCUUUAAAAUGGAAUUGUUGGGAGAAUCAAAUGAGAUAUCGAGCAGCUAGUUGGCAGAGUGAAGACAGUUCCAGGUCUGCAGUCAGGAAGACACCUCUUCCUAAGUUCAAAUCCAACCUCAGACAAUUACUAGCUGUAAAUAGAUUUCCAGUGAAGAAGACAAACAUCUAUGAGCAUCCAAGUGGUGCUGGACAUCAGGCUUUCCUCCUCUUCUGAUUGCCAUGAAGUGAUGAACACAGAGCCCAGAUUUUUUUGUUUCUGUGGUUUUUCAUUCUUUCUUGCUCUUAGGUAAAUGAGUGUGGGAGAAAGAGCAAAUGAGAUUAUGACCUUGUGAGCCCCUAGGAAAUGGUAUCACUAAGGAGCUAAAUCCAAGGAAAACAGUGCACCCUGCUUCACCUGAUCUAGCAGUGGAUUGACACAGUUGUCAAGAUAGUAUGUUCUGCAAGCAGAGGAACAAUUUAUCCAUUAAGUAUGCCAUACUCAGAAAUGAACUUGGUAGGAAGAGUGAUUUGUCUUCUCCCCAGGGGUCAAGCAAUAGAGGAGAGAAUGCACCCCAGUGUAAUACUGAGCUUUUUUUUUACUUUAGUUUUUUUCUGCAUCUUUUUAGCAAAAUUCCCUUUGUGAAAGCUAUUAAAGGCAUAUUAGUUUAUCAAAAUGAUACUGAAAUGCUAAUCACCAGUUAGAUGAUAAUGAUAAGAUAUUAGGUGGCAUUGGAUAUUGAUAUGGGGAGAAAAUAAUAAUAAUUUAUAUAGUACUUUAAGGUUUGUAAAGUGUUUUAUAAAUAUAUAUUAUAGGAUUUGAUCUUUACAACAAAUCCAGGAGGUAGGUACUAUUCUCCCCUUUUUAUAAAUAAGGAAACUGAGUCAGGGGGAUGUCAAGUGACUUGUCCAGGGUCACACAGAUAGUGUGUAAGGUAGAAUUUGAACUCAGGUAUUCCUAAUACCAGGUCUAAUAGAAUAUUUACUUACAUAAGAAUAUAUAAGAAAAUGAAAUGUUAAACAUCGUGGAAAGCAUUUAGAUAAUGACCAAUGAAAGUAGAAAUGGAAGUGACAUUAUGGGGGCAGUCCCAGACUACAGAAAUGGAAGGUAAAAUUAGAUAAGAAAUUUGGGCAACAUCACAAAUAUAGCAAAGAAUUAUAAUGUAAUAGGUAUGGGGAAUUUCCAUUGUACUGACAUAUACAAGUUCUCUGCCUCUGCAAAGUAAAAAAGAAACAAAACAAACAAACAAACAAAGCAAAGCAGACUCACUUUAAUGAAAAUUUCAUCCUUCAAAAAGAAAAAGUAGAGAAAAAAGAUAUUGCUUUCUGGAUCUAAUUCAAACCAACAAGGAAGAAGUGAUUGUGGAAGAAGGAAUAACUAGAGCCCUAUAAGCAGAUGACUCCUAUAUUAGUGGAAUUAUGAUAGAAAGGAGAGCUAACUAUAUGCUAGAGUACAGAUGUAAUUUGGGCACAACUGAGUUCAAAAAGUUAAAAAAAAGACAAAUAAUGUCCAUGCCUAACUAUUUUGCAAGGGUCAUGAGUUUAAAAGUGAUAGGAAGGUCUCCAGAGUUAAAUUCUGAAGAGUGGAAAAAAGAGAAUUCCCUUGAAAUAUUCCUUUCCCAGAGAAAACAUGGACAAACUCAAAUUUUCAAAAGAUAUAUAAAGAAGAUGGAAAAAUAGCAAGUAGCUAACUAAGGAAUUAUAAAAAACAGAAAUAAUCUUAAAGAAUUUCUUUUCUCAAAGCACUUGAAGCUUACUAUGAAUGUUAAGGACAAAAAAAGGUUUUGUUUUAUGUUUUUAUUUUUUUUUUCAGUUAUGUCUAGAGUAAGAGAAAUAUCAAGGAAGGGAUAAUACUGUUGUUUUUGGUUAAUGUAAUGCUGAUAAUACAUUAGAAUGAGGUUGAAAAACAACACUUAAUUUGUUUUUGUUUUCUCUUCCAAUAAUAAUUUUUUAGGACUAGGAAAAGAAAAACCAGUACAAAUAGCAAGGAAUGGUAUAGAUAAAUUAAGAGAUAGUUAGGUAUCCAUAUCUGAGAGCAAGAGUACUUAACCUCAGGCCUAUGAACUUCAAAAAAUGAGUUAACUGCUUUUCAUUCUAUCUUUUUCUUUGGAAAUGUAUGGAUUUAUGUUAUGGUAUUAAAAACUGUAUUAUGAGAAAGUACUCUUAGUCUUCACUAGAUUGCCAAAGGGGUUUACAUCACAAAAUGGUUAAAUAUCCCUAACCUAAGAUAUUAAACCUUUCAGAAGUCACUGCUGAGUUGCUAUCAAUGAUCUUUCAUAGAGCUAGGAACAACUUAGAGGAGGAGAAGGGUAAAUGUUGUCCACAUGUUCAUAAAAAAGGAAGAGGGUGGAGUGUGAAAAGGAAAACCAGUAACCGCAGUUUCAAAAUUUUAGAACACAUUAUUAAAGGGAUGGUUUAUCAGCAUUUUGAAAAAGAGACAAUGAUCACUAGAUGUCAAACUGACUUUGUUGAGAACAGGUCAUGCAAGAGUAAUUAAAUUGGAAGGUCAAGGGAAUGUUGUAAACAAAGUAUAUUAAGAUUUUAGUGACCCAUUUGACAAUCUGCCAUCUUAGCAUGUUGAACAAUAUGUGCUAGAAGAAAGUACAUGUAGGUGGAUCUGAAACUGGUUAAAUAGUUGGAACCACAAUCUACUUAUUAAUGGGUCAAUGCCACCUUGAAGAGGAAGUUCUACUGCAAUGACUCAGAUAUCUCUCCUUAGUUAUAUAUUGCUUCAUUAGUCGUAUAAAUGCAUGACUGUCAAAUUCAUGGAUGACAUUAAACUUGAGAUUGCCCAAUCUGUGUCAAGAUGGGGAAGUCUGAACUGACUGUGGAUUACAGUUCAGACACAAAAUAGAUAUUGAGAUGUUAGAAUGGUGAUCUGAACUCAGAAUAAAAUUAAUAGGUAUUUCUAAUAUUAGGUACA
Molecule: long non-coding RNA, 3437 nt
Organism: Monodelphis domestica (gray short-tailed opossum)
Lineage: Eukaryota; Metazoa; Chordata; Mammalia; Didelphimorphia; Didelphidae
Source: Ensembl